Long non-coding RNA from Poecilia latipinna (sailfin molly), 3981 nucleotides. RefSeq lists it as uncharacterized. The record is from RefSeq and is a predicted model, not a curated record. The transcript has 2 exons. NCBI's taxonomy places the organism in Eukaryota, Metazoa, Chordata, Actinopteri, Cyprinodontiformes, Poeciliidae.
AUUUAUUUAUUUAUUUAUUUAUUUAUUUAUUUAUUUAUUUAAUCUCCCUUAACCAUCCUGCAAACCAUGAGUGGUAAUAGAAUAAAUUUUGACCAUUGUCCAGCCAUGUUUGUCACAGUUCCAAUUAGUUGAAAGUUGGUUUAAACAUUUCAAUAAUUGCUAUUACUUAUCUGUAUGAGCAAAUAUAGGUGAGUAACUAUUUCCCUGUAACCAUUUUCUGUCUGUUAGAAAUCACAAAUAAGCCUGAGCAUAUUUCCCUCAGUUUACUCUGUUGGAAAGUGACUGAAAGAGUCACGACGGUACAAUUGUAUUUUUUAUUUUAUUUUAUGUUUCUUCUACAAUUGUACUUUUUCCUCCUACUGAAUUCUGUCACUGCAAUAAAAAAUUAAUUUAUUUGAAGGCCGUUUAUGCAUCUUUGGUAGGGUUUCAGUUAAUGGUAAAAUCCUUUAUGUGCCUGAUAUGAUCUGUUGAAAAAUAUUAUUGCAAUGGUCUAAAUCACUUCAGUAUCACAUCAUAAUAAUCUUAGAGAUGUCUUAGUAAAGAGUGCAAAACCUAAAACGUAUGGGGAUUUUUUUUUGCUCGUCAGUGGAUCCUUUGGGUAUAACGCUGAAACAAAUAAUGGCAGAAAUCAAAUAUUUUUUUUAACAAGGUAUUUUUUUAAGUGGUGAAUUUAAACAUAAAUAAAUAAAUAAAAGAGCCUUAGUGUGAUAAAAUGUGUUUAUUUAUGUACAUUGCAUUUAAUUACAAAAGCACUGCCAGUGUAAAGCAACAAAUACACAAAGGGAUGACAAAAGUAAUAUUCUAAAUUGUAAUGGCAACAGAAGAAGCAAAAAGGUCAUAAAAUAAUCAUGCAAGAAAGUUAGUUCAUAAUCUCAGGAAAGCUGAUGCUAAAAUAAAAAAAUAUAUAUACACAAAAGGAAUUACUGAAUCAACCCAAUGGAAUAAAAAUUUGUUCCUGACAGAGAAAAUUGACUCAAUGUCCUUUUUUUUUUUGUUCCUUACAGCUGAUGUUGAACUGACGUUCUCCACUUUAACAUAAGAUCUUUGAGAUCUGCAGAGAUGCAGUCAAAAGAAUCAAAGUAAAUCUGUACAUUUACCCUUUACUUGACUUGUUUUGUAAAUUUAUCUGAACUGAAAGAAAAGUAACAAGAAGAAAAUGACCAGAGAGAGUAAAUUGUGACGUAAUUACACAUUCCAGUAAAUUAAAACCACACUGUGCUUGUCGAGCACUGAGAACUGCAGUGCCUAGACUUAGUUAGAGCUGAUUUUAUGUUGGGGUCUGAUUGAAGUACAGGUCAGCUUCCUGAGUGUUUGUUUUACUGCCUGAGAAUGACCUCCAUCGCAUCCCACUUAGACACGUAUCGAUCACAUGAAUGAAAACAAAUGAGACUAAUAAAAUCUGAGGGGAGUACUUUUACAUUCCACAGUUUGUGUUUGUCUUCUGGAGGUGUGUAUGUGCGUCUGCACUUUGUGCGCGUGUUGAUAUUUGGACUUUUUACUCUCUGUGUGCGUCUACGACGAGCUAGAGCUUGCCAUUUUGAUGCUGAUCGGCAUUGUUUACCGUUUUUUAAUCCUGUAUAGAUUCAGAUGUACAAAGACGAGUGUUGUUGUUUUGGUUUUCUUAAAGAUUGUCAGUUUUUUGUAAGCAUCACUGCACUUGUUAACGACAAUGCUGGAGCAAACCUCUCUUCACAGCAGGGUUAUUUCAUUGUGUCUGGUUUGGCUUGAGGGUUAAAACUCUUUUAAAAAAAAAAGCCUAAAGUCUUGAGAUUAAACGUCUUUAACCUGACUAUCAUGACCCAGAGUUUUUGUUUAGACCAAAGCAGCUUCCAGCAUUCUGCCCCGGAUGUCCAGUGCCCUUACUAUCUGAUUCUGCUUCACGCAAAUGGCGUCUCCUUAACAUCUCAGCUGGCGCUCCACCAAAAUGCCCCCAUUGUGCACACAUGCUUCCUGGCACAAAGCGUGCUGUGUGUGCCUUGUAAACUCUGCCACACCCUGCUCUUCACCAUAUGCGCUCGCACUCAGUUUGUCAGGAAGGGCGGGCGGGGCGGGGAGAGGUUAAAAAGGGGUGAGAUGGGAGAUGAUCAGAAUCAUCUUUGAUGUUAACUAAGUCUCAGGCCAUAGCAGAGUGUUGAGCCUCCUGAAAUAAGCAGCAAUAAAAGCUGCCCUUGAAGCUUUUUCCUGUACUUUUAUGUUCUUUUUGGAUUAAUGGAUUCGUUCUCUUUAAUUGGCCUUCUAGUGCGUGCAAGAUGGAUAGUGAUGCUCUUUUAGCAGCUUCAAGCAGCAUCUUCAUAAUGUCCUUUGGUUUUGUCGUGGGUUGGUUUGAAGAUUAUGCUCCAAAAGAAAUAUCCAACUCUUUGGAAGAUAGAACCCAUGUUUUGGGUUAAGUGACGGCUGGACAUUCCCAUUGUGUUUAUUAUACUUAUUCAUCAUUUUUUGAAUGGUUGAAUUUGGCAACUCCGGGUAUCUAGAAUUUUACCAAACAAUGAGCAAGACUUAAGGAAGUCCACAUUUCUAUUCCAGAUAUUUUGCAUUAUUUCUUUUGAUUUUUCCUUGAAACCAGUGUAUUUCACAAGCUGCUUUAAAACACAACCACAGAUUUGCCUCCAUAUGAUCAAAAUAAAUUAACUUAUUAGAGUUGUUAAUUUAACUGGUGGGUGCUGGCUUACUGUAAGGCUGUCUUUAAUUGUUUUGAUGUUACAGAGUCUAGAUGUAAAAUUUACCAGUUUACCGUGUUUAGCCAUAAUAUUGUCUUCUGAAGUUUUCCAAACUGCUUAAACCCAUAGUAGUCUUGGUACAUGAACAUUUCUAAAUUAAAAUUAAUUCUUAAAAAUUCCCAAAAAAGCAUCAUGCUCAUUAUUCUGGUAUUUAGAAAAGAUACAUAGUUUUGGUAAUCCCCACUGAUCUAAAACAACAAUAGAUUAGUUAAUGUCUCUCAGUGAAAAAAGAAAUAAUUAUGUCUUUUUAUACCAUAUAUAUAAAUAUCUGGUUCAAUAGCAGCAAACCAGGGUUUCAUUAUGAUAAUAAUUGUUUUUUGUUUUGUUUUGUUUUUUAGAAAUCAAGCUAAAAUUCUUCUUUCUACACACUCCAUGUGGUCAGUCAAUCACACCAAAAUGUUUACUGGAUAAUCUCAUGUUUCUGUUUUAGGGCAUUCAAUUAAGGAACUGCUGGAAUCAAAGAGAGGUUAACCAGCAACAUUUUUAUUUACAUAAUGUACAGAUAAUUGUGAUGUGUCCUGUAUGUAAAAAAAAAAAAAAAAAAAAAAAACAUUUAUUGGGGUUGUUAUCUGUCUGUCACUAACUCCUCUCUUUCACUUCCCUUUCUCAUUGUAGUUACUCAUCUGUGGGGUGCACAAUGUUAAAUAUCAGCCAUUUAUUUUUUUGAAAUCUGUAUAGUGUAAAUAAUAACAUAAAUGUGUAUAUAAAACAAAUAUUCUUCUGGUCUGGUAUUGAUAUACAUUUAUUUUAAAAGUGCCUUUUAAAAAAAAUUGUUCAUAGAAGACAUUUAUUACAAAGAUUCACUCGAGUGGUUCUACUAUGAAGUCAGAUGAAGCUUUAAAGAUGGUAAGUUGUGUAAAUGUCAUGUUAAAAAUUGAAGUGAAAAUCAAGCCUCAGAAAACAAGCAACAGCAUGUUAACACCUUUGCACCCAGCUUUUCCAAAGUGUUUCUUAUUCGCUGAUUUAUACAUAAAUCCAGUCUACUUCUUGCUUACUGAUGCAACACAUUAUUUAGUCGUACCUGCUUAGUUUCCAUGUAUCUCUCUUGACUGCAUCCAAUGUCCUAUUCUGUAACAAAAAUUCAACUCAACAUGCUGAAGAUGUCUUCCACACAGAUUUAAAAUUUGAUCACAUUUAGCUUUCAUUUUUCUCUCCAUUAAAAGCUGUGGUGUGUUGUCUCUUCUUUUUUUCUUUUUUUCUUUUGAGCUGUUGCACACAUCUAAUUAGGAAAACAACAUUCUCCAACUCCUACACUUUUGAGUUU